GUCCUUAUAGCUCAGUAGGAUAGAGCGAGUGCCUCCGACGCACUAGGUCGGGAGUUCGAUUCUCUCUAAGGACACCA
RNAcentral lists this transfer RNA (77 nucleotides) under Bacilli bacterium. RNAcentral describes it as "tRNA-Arg". It matches the Rfam family "tRNA". From Rfam's summary of the family: Transfer RNA (tRNA) molecules are approximately 80 nucleotides in length. Their secondary structure includes four short double-helical elements and three loops (D, anti-codon, and T loops). Lineage: Bacteria; Bacillati; Bacillota; Bacilli. The record is from RNAcentral.